ACUCGUUGGUGUUGGAUGCGAGUUCGCAGUGAGGAUUGGCGUGAGAGAGUGGCCCUCAUAGAAUAUACUGAUGCAGAAUGGAGAGAACUUUCGCAUGCCCUGAAGAUCCUUUCAGAAGCUAUGCGGCAUGAUGGAGAGAAGCCUGCGCCCCAAUGAUAUUACUGUUCGUGCGGCUGCGCCACUUGAUAUGCGAGUGUCGAUUGCCUGUUACAAACUGGGAAGCUGUGGGGAAUAUUAUGUUGUAGCCAAUCAGUUUGCGGUAGACAAAUCAACAGUAAAAAAGUUUGUGUGUAUGUUCUGAGGCAAAGGUGUCCUCGGUGAUCCGAGAUCUUAUCAAACUCCCAACGCUGGAGGAGGCCUGCGCCAUCGCACAGAGAUUUGAGAGGGUGUACCACACUCCGCAAAUCAUCGGAUGCGUGGACGGUGCACAUAUCCCUAUCCUGCCACCUACUGACGGAUACAGGGACUUUGUCAACCGCAAAGGCUGGCCUUCCAAUGUUCUUCAAGGGAUUGUUGAUGAUACCUAUUGUCUGACACAGCAUUUGGAAUAUCAGCUGCAAACUGCCUGGAAGUGCACAUGAUGCAAAUGUAGUGAGACAAUCGACUCUGUUUGAGAAGGCUCACCUACUCCCAAAGGGUGAAGAACAUACUGUACAGGGAGGCAGGUGAACUUUUUCGUUCUUGGCGACCUGGAGAGAGCCCUACCUCAACCUGGUGCACAAGCACAGAAUGCACCCAACGCCAAUGGUCAUGCUGCAAGGCAAGCCCUGACAGAGUACAUGGCAGCCAACUUCCCUCUCCGCAGGUGACUACCUCAUGAAGCUGGUUGAGAGAAUGCCAAAAGUGUGCAAAGCUGUCAUCAGGACAAAGGGUGGCUACUUUGAAGAAUCUCAAAUGUAAUGUAUAUUUUGAUUUGUUUAACACUUUUUUGGUUAAUACAUGAUUCCAUAUGUGUUAUUUCAUAGUUUGAUGUCUUCACUAUUAUUCUACAAUGUAGAAAAUAGUACAAAUAAAGAAAAACCCUUGAAUGAGUAAGUGUGUCCAAUCUUUU
This 1051-nucleotide long non-coding RNA is filed under the name Salmo salar (Atlantic salmon). Its description in RNAcentral is "lncRNA (ENSSSAG00000119091.1)". The record is from RNAcentral. Lineage: Eukaryota; Metazoa; Chordata; Actinopteri; Salmoniformes; Salmonidae.